ACAAUUAUCGAGAGGAUUUUAAGUUGCCCAAUUUAAAGCUUACCUAUAAAAACAGGCAGGGAUUCCACUUUGUUAUACCACAGAAGAAUAUUCAAGGAAAGCUUCCAAGCAAGUUCAUUCAGGUUGUAAAACAUGGGAACAACAUUCGUUGCUCAAGUUUAGAACUAGCAUCUUUGAACGCUAGGAAUAAAUCUGCAGCUGC
Long non-coding RNA from Glycine soja, 202 nucleotides. RefSeq lists it as uncharacterized. Lineage: Eukaryota; Viridiplantae; Streptophyta; Magnoliopsida; Fabales; Fabaceae. The transcript is spliced from 3 exons. The record is from RefSeq and is a predicted model, not a curated record.